RNAcentral lists this ribosomal RNA (490 nucleotides) under uncultured bacterium. RNAcentral's name for it is "partial 16S ribosomal RNA". It matches the Rfam family "Bacterial small subunit ribosomal RNA", at positions 30 to 507 of the family's 1533-position model. The record is from RNAcentral.
AUUGAACGCUGGCGGCAGGCCUAACACAUGCAAGUCGAACGGUAACAGGAAGAAGCUUGCUUCUUUGCUGACGAGUGGCGGACGGGUGAGUAAUGUCUGGGAAACUGCCUGAUGGAGGGGGAUAACUACUGGAAACGGUAGCUAAUACCGCAUAACGUCGCAAGACCAAAGAGGGGGACCUUCGGGCCUCUUGCCAUCGGAUGUGCCCAGAUGGGAUUAGCCAGUAGGUGGGGUAACGGCUCACCUAGGCGACGAUCCCUAGCUGGUCUGAGAGGAUGACCAGCCACACUGGAACUGAGACACGGUCCAGACUCCUACGGGAGGCAGCAGUGGGGAAUAUUGCACAAUGGGCGCAAGCCUGAUGCAGCCAUGCCGCGUGUAUGAAGAAGGCCUUCGGGUUGUAAAGUACUUUCAGCGGGGAGGAAGGGAGUAAAGUUAAUACCUUUACUCAUUGACGUUACCCGCAGAAGAAGCACCGGCUAACUCCGUG